GCCGCGGAGCGCGGGCGCCCUCGUGAGGCUGGGCUGCGUCGCCAGCGGCAGCGUGAAGCGGGCAGCCCGGUCUGCGCCGGGGCCUGGGCCUGGAGUCCGGUGUGGUCGGGCGUUCGACUCGCGCGACUCCCCGCCCGAGGGCCCACCGGGCUCCGGCUGGAAGCCGCCCAGGGUGCGGCAGCGAAACUUUGGCCCGGUUGCAACCACAGUGGCGUUUAGGCCGGACGCUCUUGCUCCCGUUUCACGGAGCGGUCGAAAUCCGUAGACGUUUCUAAUGCGUUCUACCGGUAGCCCAGCCCUCUUCGUCCUCAGCCUCUAUUCGUGCUCACUUUUCUCCCAGAACUUCCCACUUCAAGAAGACUUUUUGGGAAGAGGAAAAGUAGCAUCUGUGAUUUCGAGACACCUCUGCCAGCAUCUGGCUUCCUGGCUAUGCCCACCGAUGAAGGUGACAAUCACGAUGCAGAAAUGGACAGUUGGGAGCGUUGGAUGGAAUACUUACAAUAGUGAACAAAGAACAGCGGAGAAGACAUUUUACCCAAACAUCUUACUUGCUGUUGGAAGUCUGGCUUGACCCAAUGUGAGGCCCUCUUCUCCAUUCCAGAUCCAGGACACCAUUCCCUGAAGGAGCCAUCAGGGGCCUGUGGGAUAGAGGCCAUUGCCGGGGAUGCCCUGAUAGAGGUCCUUCAACAAAUAACAAGUAAGAGGCUGCAGUUUCUGCAACGAGAGAUGAUGGGGCUGAAAUGUCAGCAGGACAGACCAGGAUGGAAGAUCAAUCACGGAGCGACCCUAUUUCCAUCUCUAUUCUGGGACCAUGUGGAAUCAGAGAUAAAUUAGACCACAUCUUUGUCCUAGGAGUUCACAGUCAAGCUGAGGCAGACAGACUGACAAAUUGAUAAAUGCUUCAACAUUGUGAUGUGGUGACAUACAGGGUCAGUAGGUGCCUGAACUUCACCAUGGAGCUGUGAGUGCUCUUGACUCAGGACUUGAAGAAGCUUAAGGAGGAAAUCCAGCAGAGGCUAGAUACUUCGUACCAGCAGGCCCUGGUUCUGCUCUACCCCAGCAAGAAUCACUGCAUCCUCUCAGGGCUUCAAACCUAAGACAUGAUCUUGAUUUCAGCUUUCACUAGGGUUCUGCCCUGAAACCAUCACAAACCUGGGAACCUAUGGCUCCGGCGGUACAUUUCCAUUUAUCCACUGCCCUUUGGGUUUGAAUGUCAGACAGAGGGUUUAGAAGAUGUCAACUCAAAACACAGCCAUAAACUUGGUCUGACAAUCAACUAAAGGAUGAAUCCAGGAAUCCAGGAGGAUGGUUUGUUUAUUUAUUUAUUUAUUUUUGGCCCUCUUUAUGGCCCAUGGAUUUGGAGAGAAGAACACAUCCCAUGGGUUCAGGGGUGCUUCUGGGGGAUUCUUUUAUAGAAAAAAGGUGGAUGGGACCAUUACCCUUCUUUUGUUGUGUGUCCCUCAUUCUGGGUAUCCCUGAAUGGAUCCCCUGGCGGAUGUUCCUGUCUACCUGGAAACUCAGAAUGUGGCCCUUUUUUGAAAGAGGGUCUCUGCAGGUGUCAUUAGGAUAAGAAUCCAGAUGAAUUCAUCCAGAUUCAGGUAGGUUGUAAAUCUGAGAGGGCUCUUAGAAGGGACAGAGAAGGACACACAGAGACAGAGAGAGAGAAGCUGGCCAUGUGAAGGCUGAGGCAGAGAUUGAGAUGACAAAGCCAGAAGCUGGCAUAUGCUAGAAGAUGCAAAGAAGCUUUCUCCUCCAAGGCCCCCAGAGGCAGCAUGGCCCUGCUUGACAUCGUGGCUUGGAUUUCUGACUUCUACAACUGUGAGGGGAAAAACGUCUGUUAUUGCAGGCCUCCAAAUUUGUGGUACUUUAUUAUGGCAGCCUGAGGAAACGAAUACAUACUGGAAAACUCACUUUAUAUCAGGAACUGAAAAUGCAAACCUCUCAGGUAACAAAAAUGAAUGACCGAGGAGAAGACUGAGGCAAACUGGAGAAGCUAUGCUUUAUGUAAAGAUAACCAGGUGUUGCCUGGCAAGGACACAGAAACACAUUUGCCGGAUCUUUCAGAGUUCAAGAGAAGCUGGAAAUCCUGGAAUUCUUGUCGCGGUGCAGUGGUUAACGAAUUCGACUAGGAACCAUGAGGUUGUGGGUUUGAUCCCGGGCCUUGCUCAGUGGGUUAAGGAUCUGGCCUUGUCGUGAGCUGUGGUGUGGGUCGCAGAUGCAG
Molecule: long non-coding RNA, 2221 nt
Filed under: Sus scrofa (pig)
Lineage: Eukaryota; Metazoa; Chordata; Mammalia; Artiodactyla; Suidae
Description: lncRNA (ENSSSCG00050052633.1)
Source: RNAcentral